GAUGAACGCUGGCGGCGUGCCUAAUACAUGCAAGUCGAGCGAACAGACGAGGAGCUUGCUCCUCUGACGUUAGCGGCGGACGGGUGAGUAACACGUGGAUAACCUACCUAUAAGACUGGGAUAACUUCGGGAAACCGGAGCUAAUACCGGAUAAUAUAUUGAACCGCAUGGUUCAAUAGUGAAAGACGGUUUUGCUGUCACUUAUAGAUGGAUCCGCGCCGCAUUAGCUAGUUGGUAAGGUAACGGCUUACCAAGGCAACGAUGCGUAGCCGAACUGAGAGGGUGAUCGGCCACACUGGAACUGAGACACGGUCCAGACUCCUACGGGAGGCAGCAGUAGGGAAUCUUCCGCAAUGGGCGAAAGCCUGACGGAGCAACGCCGCGUGAGGGAUGAAGGUCUUCGGAUCGUAAAACUCUGUUAUUAGGGAAGAACAAAUGUGUAAGUAACUAUGCACGUCUUGACGGUACCUAAUCAGAAAGCCACGGCUAACUACGUG
Molecule: ribosomal RNA, 497 nt
Filed under: uncultured bacterium
Lineage: Bacteria
Description: partial 16S ribosomal RNA
Rfam family: Bacterial small subunit ribosomal RNA
Source: RNAcentral